CUUCAGCGGCAUAGACAUCGUCCCCCACUGUCACAGAGGCAGAGCUGCGGAAAGUAGCCCCCAGAAUUGUACGCCAUCAUCUCCCAAUCGCGCUUCGCCUUCUCUAACAGGGCAAGUGAAGCAUUUAACCCUACUGGCCUUAUCCAUACAAAGAAAA
This is a long non-coding RNA of Herpailurus yagouaroundi (jaguarundi), 157 nucleotides long. RefSeq lists it as uncharacterized. The record is from RefSeq and is a predicted model, not a curated record. The transcript is spliced from 2 exons. NCBI's taxonomy places the organism in Eukaryota, Metazoa, Chordata, Mammalia, Carnivora, Felidae.